UACGUGCCAGCAGCCGCGGUAAUACGGAAGGUCCAGGCGUUAUCCGGAUUUAUUGGGUUUAAAGGGAGCGUAGGCUGGAGAUUAAGUGUGUUGUGAAAUGUAGACGCUCAACGUCUGAAUUGCAGCGCAUACUGGUUUCCUUGAGUACGCACAACGUUGGCGGAAUUCGUCGUGUAGCGGUGAAAUGCUUAGAUAUGACGAAGAACUCCGAUUGCGAAGGCAGCUGACGGGAGCGCAACUGACGCUUAAGCUCGAAGGUGCGGGUAUCAAACAGGAUUAGAUACCCUGGUAGUCCGCACAGUAAACGAUGGAUGCCCGCUGUUGGUACCUGGUAUCAGCGGCUAAGCGAAAGCAUUAAGCAUCCCACCUGGGGAGUACGCCGGCAACGGUGAAACUCAAAGGAAUUGACGGGGGCCCGCACAAGCGGAGGAACAUGUGGUUUAAUUCGAUGAUACGCGAGGAACCUUACCCGGGCUUGAAUUGCAGAGGAAGGAUUUAGAGAUAAUGACG
RNAcentral lists this ribosomal RNA (510 nucleotides) under uncultured bacterium. RNAcentral's name for it is "bacterial SSU rRNA". It matches the Rfam family "Bacterial small subunit ribosomal RNA", at positions 502 to 1014 of the family's 1533-position model. The record is from RNAcentral.